CCGCCCGGUCACAUCAUGGGAGUUGGUAAUGCCCAAGUCGGUGAGUUACUUCGGAGACCAUUGCCUAAGGCAGGACUGAUGACUGGGGUGAAGUCGUAACAAGGUAUCCCUACGAGAACGUGGGGAUGGAACACCGUGGGGCUGGAUCACCUCCUUUU
This 158-nucleotide ribosomal RNA is filed under the name Chlamydia trachomatis. RNAcentral describes it as "partial 16S ribosomal RNA". The stretch from base 1 to 141 matches the Rfam family "Bacterial small subunit ribosomal RNA", at positions 1388 to 1533 of the family's 1533-position model. The record is from RNAcentral. Lineage: Bacteria; Pseudomonadati; Chlamydiota; Chlamydiia; Chlamydiales; Chlamydiaceae.